GGGCUGUUCGCCCAUUAAAGAGGCACGCGAGCUGGGUUCAGAACGUCGUGAGACAGUUCGGUCCCUAUCCGUCGCAGGCGUAGGAAAUUUGAGAGGAGUUGUCCUUAGUACGAGAGGACCGGGAUGGACAAACCAAUGGUGUACGAGUUGUCUUGCCAAAGGCAUGGCUCGGUAGCUAAGUUUGGAAAGGAUAAGAGCUGAAGGCAUCUAAGCACGAAGCCCCCCUCAAGAUAAGAUUUCCCAUUCGAAAGAAAUAAGAUUCCUUGAAGACCACAAGGUAGAUAGGUUCAAGGUGUAAGGGUAGAAAUACUUUUAGCUGAUGAAUACUAAUAGAUCGAAGACUUGACCUAACAAUGACUUUAUA
Molecule: ribosomal RNA, 364 nt
Filed under: Bacillus licheniformis
Lineage: Bacteria; Bacillati; Bacillota; Bacilli; Caryophanales; Bacillaceae
Description: partial 23S ribosomal RNA
Rfam family: Bacterial large subunit ribosomal RNA
Source: RNAcentral